CUGAAGCAUCAAUACGUUUUUCGCAACUGUUGAAUAAGUAAUUAAAAGUGAUUAAUAAAGGUCUGUUAAGUUAGUUUCGACAUGGGAAAAAGCGCUCAAAAUCACGAUCUCGAUCAAGAUCUCGAUCACGAGAUUCGAAGCGCAGGAAAGACGACAAACUGGACAAACUCAGUUCUCGCAUGGAUAACCUCACAAAAAUGGUUGAGGCGUUGGUGGAAGUUCAAAAAGAACAUUUUUCACCAACUAGUACUAACAUAGUACCGAGUACUGUAGAGAUUAUUGAAGAUAAGCUUAAUUAUGCUUUUAAUUAUGCUUUUAAUUAUAAGAAAUUACCUUAACUUUCCACAUGAAAGUUGGGAGGUGUUUGCCCACACGGCAUCACCAGGUCCAUACGACCAUGUCAACUUGUGAUUGAGUUCAACAAGAACGAAAAUGUCACCAGGUCCAUACGACCAUGUCAAUUUGUGAUUGAGUUCAAUAAGAACGAAAAUAUCACCAGGUCCAUACGACCAUGCCAAUUUGUGACUGAGUUCAACAAGAACGCAAGUAUCACAAGUGCACAAAAAGUACCUUGCUAAUUUUUUAUUUUGUAAUUCACAGAUGUUGAAAGUAAUGAAGAAAAUGAUCCUGAUAUCGGAAAUACCGUGAAGGAUACGUAAGAGGCUGAACAGGUCGAGAGUGACGAAAAAGACCAAGCGGGGCAAGAACCAGCUAAAGACUUCAUCUUGAAGGUCUUAGGAAUGCAUCCUGACGACUGUACGUUUAAAGACGUAAAAUAUCAUCCAGAAUUAAAAAAUACAUGGUUGAAGUGGAAAACUGAGGGUCUUCCAGAGAAGAAUAAGAAAGAGAUAUUGGAAGCCUACAAUAGAAAGGAUCGAAUUUCCAAAAUUGAACCCGGAGAUAGUACCGUUACUUGCCGACACAGCAAAAAAGCGAGAUUAGCAUUUUGCUGAGACUCAGAAUUGUGUUAGUACGGCUAUAUCUGCUCUGGGUGCCGCUGUCUCCAUGUUGUUAGAACAACCUGAAGAAAGAGUUGACGAGGAUCUCCUUACCGACUACAUAAGUCAUGCCGGUCAGAUCCUCAUAGACGUCUUUUACUAACAGUCGGUAGCCAGGAAGUCGUUCAUAACUCCGCUUUGAAACAAGAACAUCAAGCCGAUAGUCGGCUCGAUGUUAUCAAAUGAAUGGCUAUACGGUGACGACUUCAAGAACAAAGUCAAUGAUGUUAAGGAAAUAGAAAAGGCAUGCGCGAAUAUUAAAGAAAGUCCUGCAGCUAAAAUAUCUUCUAAAUCACGAGACCAGGGAAACGGAAAACGCCCACCUGCGAAUUACCGUCAGGUGGGCCAGAGCCAGAAAUAUCGGGCCUUGAAGUUCAAACAGAAAUCACACACGACGUAUCAGCGUCCGUCCAAGUCAACAUGCCAUUAUGUCAAUGUCAUCAUAUGUCAAUAAAACGUAAAAUAAUU
Polistes dominula (European paper wasp) is the source of this 1466-nucleotide long non-coding RNA. RefSeq lists it as uncharacterized. Lineage: Eukaryota; Metazoa; Arthropoda; Insecta; Hymenoptera; Vespidae. The record is from RefSeq and is a predicted model, not a curated record.